This 38-nucleotide transfer RNA is filed under the name Colibri thalassinus. RNAcentral describes it as "tRNA-Leu". The record is from RNAcentral. Lineage: Eukaryota; Metazoa; Chordata; Aves; Apodiformes; Trochilidae.
CUUUUAAAGGAUAACAGCUAAUCCACUGGUCUUAGGAG